AUUGAACGCUGGCGGCAGGCCUAACACAUGCAAGUCGAGCGGAUGAAGGGAGCUUGCUCCUGGAUUCAGCGGCGGACGGGUGAGUAAUGCCUAGGAAUCUGCCUGGUAGUGGGGGAUAACGUCCGGAAACGGGCGCUAAUACCGCAUACGUCCUGAGGGAGAAAGUGGGGGAUCUUCGGACCUCACGCUAUCAGAUGAGCCUAGGUCGGAUUAGCUAGUUGGUGGGGUAAAGGCCUACCAAGGCGACGAUCCGUAACUGGUCUGAGAGGAUGAUCAGUCGCACUGGAAGUGGGACGGCCUCCAGGCGACUAAGGUAGGGAGCAGUGUGGUAUGGUGGGCAGUGGGGGAGAGCAUGGUCCAGUCGUGCGGCGCGUGUGGAGAAGGUCUCGGGAUCGGAAAGCCGGUUUAGUUGUGGGGAACCGCUUUAGCCUGUGACGAUGCUUUAUUGACGGUACCGGCUAAAUAAGCACCGGCUAACUACGUG
RNAcentral lists this ribosomal RNA (484 nucleotides) under uncultured bacterium. Its description in RNAcentral is "partial 16S ribosomal RNA". It matches the Rfam family "Bacterial small subunit ribosomal RNA", at positions 30 to 507 of the family's 1533-position model. The record is from RNAcentral.